Molecule: long non-coding RNA, 1809 nt
Filed under: Homo sapiens (human)
Lineage: Eukaryota; Metazoa; Chordata; Mammalia; Primates; Hominidae
Description: HSALNT0138117
Source: RNAcentral
AAAAAAAGAGUAUACACCACCUCCAGAGAAGGUUCAUUCUCUUCCAUUACAAAAAGCAUGAUGGUCUCAACCCCUAGCAUUUCCUCUUUAAUAAGAGCAAUUUGUACAUAAGCUGAAAAAAUGUCAUUAAAUGCACUUCCUGUAGUCAUGCAGUAAUUUAGUUGCCAUGGUAAUCUUGGGUAAACUUGAAAAAUACUUUGGAUGGGCCAUUUCUAAUGCUUGUUUCUAAAACUCUAGAACUUUUUAAAGUCCUGGAGGAUAAAGAGACUGAAAAGGCUUUUCUCUUUAAUGCCUAACUGUGGACUCAGCAAAUGUAGCACAGCUCUUCACAAUAUGACAGCCAUUACGCUCCUGACAAUGAUCACUCCAUCACUUCCCACCUCAAGACAGGCUUAUACGUUAUCCCUAUCUUCCCGAUUCAGUGAAAGCACUAACUUUGGACUCUGUGGCAGUGAAGGGAAUUAAUUUAUGAAAUAAGCACUUUCCCAUAAUAGCCCCCAAAGCUUUUCACAAUUGAACACUGUCAUUUGGGCCUACCAUCAAUAAUAGAGUGACAAAGUACACUCUGAUGCAGUUUAACAAAGGAACAGCAGACAACUCGGGACUUCAACACAUUCAGGCUGCUGCCCAAGAAAGCCAUUGUUGGCUGAGAGGCUCUGAUGAUUCACAGCUCUCACUCACUCUGUUCAUCAACCAUGUCAGGGCUCAAAAGGUUUCAGGAAACACUGUCAGGAAGACUUUUUGGCUAACAGCUACAUUUGACAACUGACCUUUAAUCUUUAUUUCACAUUAUCAUCCUAUCAUUAGCCAAGGAUAAUACAUGAGCAUUUUUCAAAUAUGAUUUCAUGGACUGAAGAUUUUCUAAAGACUUUUCAUCCAAAGAAAGACACUAUUAUUAUUAGCUUCACCAGACUCUGACUAUAUCCUGGAUUUCUUAAAAGGUCUCAAUUAAGUAAAAUUAAUGAUUUCAUUAGAGUUGAGUAAGCAGUCACACACUGUUUCCUUCUUUUUGUAGAGGCUCUUUUGGCCACAUCAAAAUACGAUAACACAAACUAAAGCAGCACAGGCUGCACGAGAGAAAAAGCCCUGACCUGGAAGACAAGAGUCUGCUUUGACCUUCAGCAGACCAUUUCAUAUCACUUUGUCUAUUGCUUCAUCUGUAAUAUGUGAGGAUUGAACUGAAAAGGAGGGCAUGUGGCUCCGGUCAGUGUAGCUGGAGCAGAGGAAGAAGUGAAAUAUGAGCAAGAUGAGUUUUGGACAAGUAGGCAGGGGCCAGACCAUGCCCUGCAGGUCUCGUCAAAGAUUCUGAUAUUUGCCCUAAGAGAAGUAGGAUUUAACCCACUGAAUGACUUAAGCAAGGGAGUAAUAUGCUAUGAUCUCCAAUACUUUGAAGACCAGAGCAGAGACAUGGAGACCAGUCAGUACACUACUUCAGUAGCCCAGAUGCGGGAGAGAAUAUUUGACCUUAGAUUUGUCCGCCUGCAUCUUUCUCCUGACGCCAACCUCAGUUCCUCCUCUGACUGCCUCUCUCCAUCUGUAUUGCAAAACACCAAACUCUCUGCCAAAGAACACAUCCAGGUGUGGCCAUGUGACUGAGCUCUACUCAGUGAGAACUGUUGUGGCACGUUCUGGACGAUGCCUCAGUGAGGCGAUGCGCAUCUUUUGCCUUUCCUUUGUCUCCUGGGAAGUGAUUUUGAGGAUAGAAGGUAUGCGCUGAGGAUGAUGGGACAGAAUCAUGAAGCCUCCAUCCAAGACUUCGCUCCUUCCUAUGGAUUUCUUUUAUGUGGGAGAAUAAAUAAUUGUGUGGUU